This 492-nucleotide ribosomal RNA is filed under the name uncultured bacterium. Its description in RNAcentral is "partial 16S ribosomal RNA". It matches the Rfam family "Bacterial small subunit ribosomal RNA", at positions 29 to 507 of the family's 1533-position model. The record is from RNAcentral.
AGUGAACGCUGGCGGUAGGCCUAACACAUGCAAGCCGAGCGGCAGCACAGUAAGAGCUUGCUCUUACGGGUGGCGAGUGGCGGACGGGUGAGGAAUACAUCGGAAUCUACUUUUUCGUGGGGGAUAACGUAGGGAAACUUACGCUAAUACCGCAUACGACCUACGGGUGAAAGCAGGGGAUCUUCGGACCUUGCGCGAUUGAAUGAGCCGAUGUCGGAUUAGCUAGUUGGCGGGGUAAAGGCCCACCAAGGCGACGAUCCGUAGCUGGUCUGAGAGGAUGAUCAGCCACACUGGAACUGAGACACGGUCCAGACUCCUACGGGAGGCAGCAGUGGGGAAUAUUGGACAAUGGGCGCAAGCCUGAUCCAGCCAUACCGCGUGGGUGAAGAAGGCCUUCGGGUUGUAAAGCCCUUUUGUUGGGAAAGAAAAGCAGCAGGUUAAUACCCCGCUGUUCUGACGGUACCCAAAGAAUAAGCACCGGCUAACUUCGUG